CAAUUCAAUUUCUAGAACUGGGACUUGAACAGGUUCUGAAUCAGCAGUAUAAACGUCCUGCCUCUACGAGUAUCCACGAGGUCGGCCAGAAUUGAUCCUCUUGACUCCUGUUUGCUUGAACCAAAAGCCUGAAUAGGCUUGAACCAAGCCUGGAGAAGCUUUUAAUUGUGAACUCUUUUGAUCUUUCUUUUUUAUUUUUGAAAAAAUCAAGAAUCUUUCUUAAUCCCUCAAUUAAUCAAAAAGAACAAUAACCAAGAAGUGGUUGUAACUAACUUUCAACAAACUUGAGAUGGAAGGGAACAAACCAAGAAGCGAGUUGGCACCAACUAUUGACACCACCGCUUUGUUGUCGCCCACCCCUCUUUUGGCUCCAAGGAAGGAUGCCUAAAGAGAGAGAAGGCAUGGGCUAGAGAGAGGAAGAGGAGAGAAGACAUGGGCACAGUAACAAACGGUGGCAAGGAGGGAGAAGUUGAUCUUAUGGGAGAAGUAAAAGCUAGGAUCCUUUAUAUAGACAACUUAAGGAUGU
This 526-nucleotide long non-coding RNA is filed under the name Elaeis guineensis (African oil palm). Its description in RNAcentral is "long non-coding RNA (EGUI_LNC051490)". The record is from RNAcentral. Lineage: Eukaryota; Viridiplantae; Streptophyta; Magnoliopsida; Arecales; Arecaceae.